UACGAAGGGGGCUAGCGUUGCUCGGAAUUACUGGGCGUAAAGCGCACGUAGGCGGUCUUUUAAGUCGGGGGUGAAAUCCUGGAGCUCAACUCCAGAACUGCCUUCGAUACUGGAAGACUUGAGUCCGGGAGAGGUGAGUGGAACUGCGAGUGUAGAGGUGAAAUUCGUAGAUAUUCGCAAGAACACCAGUGGCGAAGGCGGCUCACUGGCCCGAUACUGACGCUGAGGCACGAAAGCGUGGGGAGCAAACAGG
Molecule: ribosomal RNA, 253 nt
Filed under: uncultured bacterium
Lineage: Bacteria
Description: partial 16S ribosomal RNA
Rfam family: Bacterial small subunit ribosomal RNA
Source: RNAcentral